RNAcentral lists this ribosomal RNA (484 nucleotides) under uncultured bacterium. RNAcentral's name for it is "partial 16S ribosomal RNA". It matches the Rfam family "Bacterial small subunit ribosomal RNA", at positions 29 to 507 of the family's 1533-position model. The record is from RNAcentral.
AGUGAACGCUGGCGGUAGGCCUAACACAUGCAAGUCGAGCGGAUGAAGGGAGCUUGCUCCUGGAUUCAGCGGCGGACGGGUGAGUAAUGCCUAGGAAUCUGCCUGGUAGUGGGGGAUAACGUCCGGACACGGGCGCUAAUACCGCAUACGUCCUGAGGGAGAAAGUGGGGGAUCUUCGGACCUCCCGCUAUCAGAUGAGCCUAGGUCGGAUUAGCUAGUUGGUGGGGUAAAGGCCUACCAAGGCGACGAUCCGUAACUGGUCUGAGAGGAUGAUCAGUCACACUGGAACUGAGACACGGUCCAGACUCCUACGGGAGGCAGCAGUGGGGAAUAUUGGACAAAGGGCGAAAGCCUGAUCCAGCCAUGCCGCGUGUGUGAAGAAGGUCUUCGGAUUGUAAAGCACUUUAAGUUGGGAGGAAGGGCAGUAAGUUAAUACCUUGCUGUUUUGACGUUACCAACAGAAUAAGCACCGGCUAACUUCGUG